Molecule: unclassified non-coding RNA, 241 nt
Filed under: plant metagenome
Description: partial contains small subunit ribosomal RNA, internal transcribed spacer 1, and 5.8S ribosomal RNA
Source: RNAcentral
UUUCCGUAGGUGAACCUGCGGAAGGAUCAUUCACAAUAAGUGUUUUAUGUCACUUUUUCAACAAUCCAUAUCCAGUUUGUGUGCUACGUUAUGCUACCCUCUUUCGUUAUCUUUUAUGUUACGGUCGCGGGAACCUCCCCAACUUACCAACAUCUCUUUUAACUUAUUUGUCUGAACAUUUGUUAUCACGAAUUUUCUUAAUUCGACAAUACAACUUUCAACAACGGAUCUCUUGGCUCUC